GAUAAACGCUGGCGGCGUGCAUAAAACAUGCAAGUCGAACGGGUGGCUUCGGCCACCAGUGGCGGACGGCUGAGUAACACGUAAGUGACCUACCCUUUAGUGGGGAAUAACUGCUCGAAAGAGUGGCUAAUACCGCAUGUACUCGCUUUUUCGAUGAGGUGAGCAAAGCCGAGAGGCGCUAGGGGAUGGGCUUGCGGCCGAUUAGCUAGUUGGUGGGGUAACGGCCUACCAAGGCGAUGAUCGGUAGCUGGUCUGAGAGGAUGAUCAGCCAGACUGGGACUGCGAGACGGCCCAGACUCCUACGGGAGGCAGCAGUUAGGAAUUUUGCGCAAUGGACGGAAGUCUGACGCAGCAACGCCGCGUGGGGGAAGAAGGUCUUCGGAUCGUAAACCUCUUUUCCAGGGGAAGAUAGUGACGGUACCCUGGGAAUAAGCCCCGGCUAACUACGUG
RNAcentral lists this ribosomal RNA (450 nucleotides) under uncultured bacterium. RNAcentral's name for it is "bacterial SSU rRNA". It matches the Rfam family "Bacterial small subunit ribosomal RNA", at positions 28 to 507 of the family's 1533-position model. The record is from RNAcentral.